Molecule: ribosomal RNA, 474 nt
Filed under: uncultured bacterium
Lineage: Bacteria
Description: bacterial SSU rRNA
Rfam family: Bacterial small subunit ribosomal RNA
Source: RNAcentral
GACGAACGCUGGCGGCGUGCCUAACACAUGCAAGUCGAGCGGGUUGAAGCGAGGGGUAACUCGAACUUCUACCUAGCGGCGGACGGGUGAGUAACGCGUGGGCAACCUGCCUCAAGGAUCGGGAUAACAGCUCGAAAGGGCUGCUAAUACCGGAUAUGCCUAUGGCCUCGCAUGGGGCUGUGGGCAAAGGGGAAACCCGCCUUGAGAUGGGCCCGCGUCCCAUCAGCUAGUUGGUGAGGUGAAGGCUCACCAAGGCGACGACGGGUAGCCGGCCUGAGAGGGUGACCGGCCACACUGGGACUGAGACACGGCCCAGACUCCUACGGGGGGCAGCAGUGGGGGAUCUUGCACAAUGGGCGAAAGCCUGAUGCAGCGACGCCGCGUGAGCGAAGAAGGCCUUCGGGUUGUAAAGCUCUGUCUGGAGGGACGAAGAAAGUGACGGUACCUCCGGAGGAAGCCACGGCUAACUACGUG